GAAAAUUUAGUUAAAAAAUAACAUUAGCUUGUCAGACUAAAAUUAUAAAAUACCUCUUAUAAUUUUCU
Molecule: transfer RNA, 68 nt
Filed under: Coleoptera sp. 2 KM-2017
Lineage: Eukaryota; Metazoa; Arthropoda; Insecta; Coleoptera
Also listed under: 1 other name
Description: tRNA-Asp
Source: RNAcentral